RNAcentral lists this ribosomal RNA (456 nucleotides) under Vibrio aestuarianus. RNAcentral's name for it is "bacterial SSU rRNA". It matches the Rfam family "Bacterial small subunit ribosomal RNA", at positions 1 to 451 of the family's 1533-position model. Lineage: Bacteria; Pseudomonadati; Pseudomonadota; Gammaproteobacteria; Vibrionales; Vibrionaceae. The record is from RNAcentral.
UAAUUGAAGAGUUUGAUCAUGGCUCAGAUUGAACGCUGGCGGCAGGCCUAACACAUGCAAGUCGAGCGGUAACAUUUCAAAAGCUUGCUUUUGAAGAUGACGAGCGGCGGACGGGUGAGUAAUGCCUAGGAAAUUGCCCUGAUGUGGGGGAUAACCAUUGGAAACGAUGGCUAAUACCGCAUGAUGCCUACGGGCCAAAGAGGGGGACCUUCGGGCCUCUCGCGUCAGGAUAUGCCUAGGUGGGAUUAGCUAGUUGGUGAGGUAAUGGCUCACCAAGGCGACGAUCCCUAGCUGGUCUGAGAGGAUGAUCAGCCACACUGGAACUGAGACACGGUCCAGACUCCUACGGGAGGCAGCAGUGGGGAAUAUUGCACAAUGGGCGCAAGCCUGAUGCAGCCAUGCCGCGUGUAUGAAGAAGGCCUUCGGGUUGUAAAGUACUUUCAGUCGUGAGGAAGG